Cynoglossus semilaevis (tongue sole) is the source of this 510-nucleotide long non-coding RNA. RefSeq lists it as uncharacterized. The transcript has 4 exons. The record is from RefSeq and is a predicted model, not a curated record. NCBI's taxonomy places the organism in Eukaryota, Metazoa, Chordata, Actinopteri, Pleuronectiformes, Cynoglossidae.
ACGCCAAUGCCUCCGGAACAAAAGGUAGCGCUAAUGCGCCGGAAAGAAAAAAAAACAACAACAACAAUAAAGAGACCAAAAUAAGGACCGCGAACGUUGGGGGGAGUCUCCAUAUUCUUCGGCAAGAAGUGACGCAGUCUCUGGAAAGGCAAAUACUUCAAAUGUUUACAUGCACCUGUUCGGAUGCUGAAUGAGAGUGCAUCGUUUAAGGGGUCUGUGUCUACAUAGGCGAAGAUCCAGAUAACCUUCUACAGGAAUAUGUGGUUCUUGCAUUUAAGGACUGAAGAUUAUUCAUCUCAUACGGCCCACUCCACUUUUUCUGGGUCACAGGUGGAAGACAGGAGCCAAUCCCAGCUGACAUUAGACUGUAGGAGGAAACUGUAGAACCUGGAGAGAACCCAUGUCCACACAGGAAAACAAGUCCACCCAGAUGGACUGGAAUUAAACUAGAGAACCGGUCAUCUUCCUUCAGUAAGGUAAGAGCACUGACCAUGUGUUCAAUGUUUUUUU